GUCCACGCCAUAAACGAUGUCAACUGGUUGUUGGGAAGGUUCCUUCUCAGUAACGUAGCUAACGCGUGAAGUUGACCGCCUGGGGAGUACGGCCGCAAGGUUGAAACUCAAAGGAAUUGACGGGACCCGCACAAGCGGUGGAUGAUGUGGUUUAAUUCGAUGCAACGCGAAAACCUUACCUACCCUUGACAUGUCAAGAAUUUCGCAGAGAUGUGGAAGUGCUCGAAAGAGAACUUGAACACAGGUGCUGCAUGGCCGUCGU
Molecule: ribosomal RNA, 262 nt
Filed under: uncultured bacterium
Lineage: Bacteria
Description: partial 16S ribosomal RNA
Rfam family: Bacterial small subunit ribosomal RNA
Source: RNAcentral